Molecule: long non-coding RNA, 2428 nt
Organism: Oryctolagus cuniculus (rabbit)
Lineage: Eukaryota; Metazoa; Chordata; Mammalia; Lagomorpha; Leporidae
Source: Ensembl
GAUCCCUGGCAGACGCCCUGCUGUGUCCCCGGGAAGAGGUCAUGUAUUAACUGCCCAGCCCAGACAAAGGCUCCUGACACAGACUCCUCAGCGACCUGCAGAGCCCGUGGACAGGGCUCCCCUGCAGCCGGACACCAGAGUGACCACAGCGAAGCAGCCAGCACUCGGGGCUCCCGGCUUUCCCUGUGGGAGCUCGGUCUCCCCGCACACUCUCCAAACGCAGUCCUGCUGGGACACAUGGGGCGGGACACAUGUUCCUGCUGGGACACACGGGGCGGGACACAUGUUUCUGCUGGGACACAUGGGGCGGACACAUGUUCCUGCAGACACGCGGGGCGGGACACAUGUUCCUGCAGACACGCGGGGCGGGGUGGGGGGAGACCUGUGGUGGGCGCUCCGGUCCUGCACUGCUGGAGUCAGGGUCGCAGGCCGAGGGCCCCUUCCUGGUGGGGGUGGGAUUGCCGGCGGCUGGCUCCGUGGGCUGGGGUGCUCUUGGCAGGCGUUCCAAGGCCCGUCCGUCCUGGGGCGGGGGCUUCUGGGAAGAGGCUCCUUGGUACCCAGCGCGUCCUGCCCUGACCCUCUGCCACACCAGACCCCAGACCCGGCUGUGCCCGUUAGGCGUCGCCGCAGCCGUGCUGUGCCACAGGGCACCCCACGACUCCUGACCUACAACAGCUGCUGCCCCGGAGCCCUCCCAGUUCGGUCAUCAGACGCCGCCCGUGCGCCCCCAGCCACGCUGCUGAGGUACCCACCCCGUUCUUCCACGUGCUGCCUGACGUGGCCGGCCAGCACCCCGCGCACGCGGGCUGAGAGGCUGCCGUGCCGAUGUGUGAGCUCAGUGCUGGGCAGUUCAGGGCCUCUGGGACCAGAAGGCAGCUUGAUGGACGCGUGCGGUGCCAGGGCAGAGGGGACGCACAAACUGGGAGACGGGGGGCUGGGAGGAGGGACCUGUCUGCUCGCCAGGGUGCAGAGGGAAGCAGCACGCUCUUCCAGAAGGUUCCGACUCAAGGUCCAGCCAGGGAGACUGGGAGUCCGCACGUCACGGUCCACUGGCCCCCUUCUGCUCGGAGCAACGGUGUCCCAGGUCCAGAGGGCAGCUCUGUGCGAGACCUGGGCCUGGGCCACCAUCAGCAGCCAAGAGGUGGCACGGAGCCGGCUGGAGCCCUGCAGGGGCUGGGGGAGGGGCUGCCCUGGCUGUGGUUGCGGCUGGCGGGGGUCAGCCAGCUGUGGCCUUCAUGGUGGCUCUGGGAAUGGAGGCAGAGGUGGCAGCCAGGACUGGGGACCUGGCGCAGGGGUUUCCCUUCGGAGCAGAAAUAAUGGGGGGCGUGGCCAGGAAUCCUCAGCGCUGUACCCUGGGGAGGCCUCGUCCCACAUCGCUCCCCUCCCCCUGCUGGGGGCCCAAGCGGGUCAGGGACGCCUUGGGGGGACCCCUCACCCCCAGCAGAGGAAGUCCUCAGAGGAAGGGGAAGGGCUCCGGCCUGGGCCAGAGGCAGCCACAAGGCUGGGGACCUGGAAUCAAAAACCGGCCAGGGUCGGGCAUCCCCAGCUUGGAGGGACACCCUGAACUAAAGCUUCGCUACCCCCAAGGUUCGUGCAGCCUGUGGGCUGCUCCCCCACGGGGUGGGGAGCAGUGCUGUGCACAGGGAGGAGCCCUCACCUGGGGCUUGUCUGCCUGCAACCCACCCGGCCUCAGCUUCUUCAUCUGUGAAAUGGGACCACCAGCGCCCACCCAGGACGGCUGUGGGGCCCCUGGCGUUGAAGCCGCCGGCACGAGAGUUCUUUGCCGUACCCCAGACAACCUCGCCUGCCACUCAGGGAAGAGCCGGCUGGCCCUAGCCCUCAGCGUGGCAUCGGCGACCGGGCUGCUUCCGCACACACAGCCAGCUGCGCCCUGCCGAGGGCCAACCUCUCUGUGCCUCUUCUGUGGAGAUCCCUCCACGCCACCCACUCCCAUCACGAGAACUCAGCCGUGAGAUGCACCCUCGGCCGUCCCGCGAGACGCGUGUCCAGGAGGCGGGUGGGUGCCCGCCGGCCCCUGCCCCGCGCUGUGACAGCCCCGAGGGCCGCAGCCCCUGGAGUGGAGCCUGGAGACUGGAGGGGGCGGGCACGGAAGCAGCGUGUGUCGUCCCGGGUGGAAAGGUAGCUUCUAGGAUCAAGGGGGGGCGGGGUCAGGUCACACUUGUGGGUGAGGGGCCGUUGUCGCUAGGGAGAGUUUCGCGGGAUUCUCGCCGGCGCUCACUGGUGUCCAUGGCUCGCCAUCUGUUCUCGGCAUUUUGUUUUAUUUUGUUUUUAACUACAGCCGCCCACUGGUCAGGCCCCGAGGCUGGUCACCACGACCCCCGCUCGCUGGCCCCCCAGAACUUCUGGUUCUCACGGAUUCCACUGCAAAGCAAAUAAAAUCAUCUUGACAACCGGUGUGCCUGCUCCA